CAAAGUUUUUGUUGUUGCUCUUCGGAGCCUCAACUUCAACCCCUUGUGCAAUCGUGAAUGUUUCUGGGUGUUCUUUUGGGCUCUCUAGCUCAAACCACCCACUCUUAUAAACACUAUUAUUUGUCUGAAAUUAAGAAAUUAAUUAUAAA
RNAcentral lists this unclassified non-coding RNA (149 nucleotides) under uncultured Chytridiomycota. RNAcentral's name for it is "sequence contains ITS1". The record is from RNAcentral. Lineage: Eukaryota; Fungi; Chytridiomycota.